Molecule: RNA transcript, 579 nt
Organism: Eucalyptus grandis
Lineage: Eukaryota; Viridiplantae; Streptophyta; Magnoliopsida; Myrtales; Myrtaceae
Gene name: GTP-binding protein SAR1A
Exons: 3
Source: RefSeq, a predicted model, not a curated record
AUGUCUCUAGUGGAUUGGUUCUGUGGAGCUCUGGCGUCUGUGGCUCUGCGCCAGAAGGAAGCGAAGAUCUUGUUCUUGGGGCUGGAUAAUGCAGGGAAGACCACCCUGCUUCGCAUGCUGAAGCACGAGAGAUUGGUUCUGCACCAACCCACCCAGUUCCCGACUUCACAGGAAUUGAGUAUAGGGAAGAUAAAGUUCAGAGCUUUCGACUUGGGUGGUCGCCAGAUCGCUCGCAGAGCCUGGCCGGACUACUACGCUAAGGUGGAUGCGGUGGUGUAUCUGGUGGACGCCUGCGACAAGGAGAGAUUUGCGGAAUCAAAGAGGGUGCUCGAUGCCCUUCUUUCAGAUGAAGCUCUUGCUAAUGUCCCUUUCCUCAUUCUCGGGAACAAGGUAGAUAUCCUGUAUGCAGCUUCGGAGGACGAGCUGCAAGAUCAUCUCGGCUCACCGGCUUGAUGACCGGCAAAGGGAAAGUGAAUCUUGCAGAUCAGACUGUUAGGCCCUCGAGGUGUUCAUGUGCAGCGUCGUGCGCAAGAUGGGCUAUGGCGAAGGGUUGAGUGGAUGUCGCAGUAUAUCAAGUGA